AGUGAACGCUGGCGGUAGGCCUAACACAUGCAAGUCGAACGGCAGCACAGUAAGAGCUUGCUCUUACGGGUGGCGAGUGGCGGACGGGUGAGGAAUACAUCGGAAUCUACUUUUUCGUGGGGGAUAACGUAGGGAAACUUACGCUAAUACCGCAUACGACCUACGGGUGAAAGCAGGGGAUCUUCGCACCUUGCGCGAUUGAAUGAGCCGAUGUCGGACUAGCUAGUUGGCGGGGUAAAGGCCCACCAAGGCGACGAUCCGUAGCUGGUCUGAGAGGAUGAUCAGCCACACUGGAACUGAGACACGGUCCAGACUCCUACGGGAGGCAGCAGUGGGGAAUAUUGGACAAUGGGCGCAAGCCUGAUCCAGCCAUACCGCGUGGGUGAAGUAGGCCUUCGGGUUGUAAAGCCCUUUUGUUGGGAAAGAAAAGCAGCAGGUUAAUACCCCGCUGUUCUGACGGUACCCAAAGAAUAAGCACCGGCUAACUUCGUG
RNAcentral lists this ribosomal RNA (492 nucleotides) under uncultured bacterium. RNAcentral describes it as "partial 16S ribosomal RNA". It matches the Rfam family "Bacterial small subunit ribosomal RNA", at positions 29 to 507 of the family's 1533-position model. The record is from RNAcentral.